This 634-nucleotide ribosomal RNA is filed under the name uncultured cyanobacterium. RNAcentral describes it as "bacterial SSU rRNA". It matches the Rfam family "Bacterial small subunit ribosomal RNA", at positions 99 to 767 of the family's 1533-position model. The record is from RNAcentral. Lineage: Bacteria; Bacillati; Cyanobacteriota.
CGGACGGGUGAGUAACGCGUGAGAAUCUAACUUCAGGACGGGGACAGCAGUUGGAAACGACUGCUAAUACCCGAUGUGCCGCAAGGUGAAACCUAAUUGGCCUGAAGAAGAGCUUGCGUCUGAUUAGCUAGUUGGUGGGGUAAAGGCCUACCAAGGCGACGAUCAGUAGCUGGUCUGAGAGGAUGAGCAGCCACACUGGGACUGAGACACGGCCCAGACUCCUACGGGAGGCAGCAGUGGGGAAUUUUCCGCAAUGGGCGAAAGCCUGACGGAGCAACGCCGCGUGAGGGAGGAAGGUCUUUGGAUUGUAAACCUCUUUUCUCAAGGAAGAAGUUCUGACGGUACUUGAGGAAUCAGCCUCGGCUAACUCCGUGCCAGCAGCCGCGGUAAUACGGGGGAGGCAAGCGUUAUCCGGAAUUAUUGGGCGUAAAGCGUCCGCAGGUGGUCAGCCAAGUCUGCCGUCAAAUCAGGUUGCUUAACGACCUAAAGGCGGUGGAAACUGGCAGACUAGAGAGCAGUAGGGGUAGCAGGAAUUCCCAGUGUAGCGGUGAAAUGCGUAGAGAUUGGGAGGAACAUCGGUGGCGAAAGCGUGCUACUGGGCUGUAUCUGACACUCAGGGACGAAAGCUAGGGGA